UACAGAGGGUGCAAGCGUUGUUCGGAAUCAUUGGGCGUAAAGCGCGUGUAGGCGGCCUUCUAAGUCUGGUGUGAAAGCCCAGGGCUCAACCCUGGAAGUGCACUGGAUACUGGAAGGCUAGAGGAUAAGAGGGGAGAUUGGAAUUCAUGGUGUAGGGGUGAAAUCCGUAGAUAUCAUGAGGAACAUCAGUGGCGAAGGCGAAUCUCUGGCUUAUUUCUGACGCUGAGACGCGAAAGCGUGGGGAGCAAACAGG
Molecule: ribosomal RNA, 253 nt
Filed under: uncultured bacterium
Lineage: Bacteria
Description: partial 16S ribosomal RNA
Rfam family: Bacterial small subunit ribosomal RNA
Source: RNAcentral